CCUACGGGUGGCAGCAGUGGGGAAUAUUGCGCAAUGGGCGAAAGCCUGACGCAGCGACGCCGCGUGAGGGAUGAAGGUCUUCGGAUCGUAAACCUCUGUCAGCAGGGAAGAACGGUCACUGUGCUGAUCAGCAGUGAAUUGACGGUACCUGCAACGGAAGCACCGGCUAAAUCCGUGCCAGCAGCCGCGGGAAUACGGCGGGGGCGGGCGUUAAUCGGAAUUACUGGGCGCUUAAGUCAGGUGGGAAAACUCCGGGCUAAACCUGGAGACUGCACGUGAAACUGGGUGUCUUGAGUGCAGGAGAGGAAAGUGGAAUUCCUAGUGUAGCGGUGAAAUGCGUAGAUAUUAGGAGGAACACCAGUGGCGAAGGCGGCUUUCUGGACUGUAACUGACGCUGAGGCGCGAAAGCGUGGGGAGCGAACGGGAUUAGAUACCCUUGUAGUC
This 444-nucleotide ribosomal RNA is filed under the name uncultured bacterium. Its description in RNAcentral is "partial 16S ribosomal RNA". It matches the Rfam family "Bacterial small subunit ribosomal RNA", at positions 338 to 795 of the family's 1533-position model. The record is from RNAcentral.